GAUUUCUGGCCUGAAACAUUUUGCCGGCCGCGGUUUCGCGUGUUAGUGCUUUGUGUUCUGGCCAUCCUUCCAAUCGCUAUUCAGCUUUCUUCAUUGAUUGCUGAGUGGUAUUGGAUCUUUUACUUUGAAAAAAUUAGAGUGUUUCAAGCAGGCUUUAUGCUAUGAAUACAUUAGCAUGGAAUAAUAAUUUAGGACUUCGGUUCUAUUUUGUUGGUUUCUAGGACUGAAGUAAUGAUUGAUAGGGAUAGUUGGGGGUGCUAGUAUUCAGCGGCCAGAGGUGAAAUUCUCGGAUUCGCUGAAGACUAACUUAUGCGAAAGCAUU
This 322-nucleotide ribosomal RNA is filed under the name uncultured Sandonidae. Its description in RNAcentral is "SSU rRNA". The stretch from base 62 to 322 matches the Rfam family "Eukaryotic small subunit ribosomal RNA", at positions 694 to 955 of the family's 1831-position model. The record is from RNAcentral. Lineage: Eukaryota; Cercozoa; Glissomonadida; Viridiraptoridae.